This 173-nucleotide non-coding RNA is filed under the name Candidatus Howiella intestinavium. Its description in RNAcentral is "Lysine riboswitch". It matches the Rfam family "Lysine riboswitch aptamer". From Rfam's summary of the family: Riboswitches are metabolite binding domains within certain messenger RNAs that serve as precision sensors for their corresponding targets. Allosteric rearrangement of mRNA structure is mediated by ligand binding, and this results in modulation of gene expression. Lineage: Bacteria; Bacillati; Bacillota; Clostridia. The record is from RNAcentral.
AAAGAUAGAGGCGCAGCGAAGAUGAGUACCCCCUGCCGAGGCCGGCGGGCCGCUCCAUAAGGCAGGCGGGAAAGGCGACGCUGCCGAAGACUGCCGUCCGGCGGGGCGGCCGUCUGAUUGCAUGGUAAAGAGCCAUGCAAUUGUCAUCAUUGUUCUAUGAUGGAGUGCUAUCA